This 311-nucleotide ribosomal RNA is filed under the name uncultured bacterium. Its description in RNAcentral is "bacterial SSU rRNA". It matches the Rfam family "Bacterial small subunit ribosomal RNA", at positions 28 to 334 of the family's 1533-position model. The record is from RNAcentral.
GACGAACGCUGGCGGCACGCCUAACACAUGCAAGUCGAACGGACGAGAGAGAAGCUUGCUUCUUUCAAGUUAGUGGCGGACGGGUGAGUAACACGUGAGCAACCUGCCUCUGAGAGGGGGAUAGCUUCUGGAAACGGAUGGUAAUACCCCAUAAUGUAGUGGAACCGCAUGAUUUUACUACCAAAUGAAUUUCGCUCAGAGAUGGGCUCGCGUCUGAUUAGCUAGAUGGUGAGGUAACGGCUCACCAUGGCGACGAUCAGUAGCCGGACUGAGAGGUUGAACGGCCACAUUGGGACUGAGACACGGCCCAG